AUUGAACGCUGGCGGCAUGCCUUACACAUGCAAGUCGAACGGCAGCACGGGUGCUUGCACCUGGUGGCGAGUGGCGAACGGGAGAGUAAUACAUCGGAACAGGUCCUGUAGUGGGGGAUAGCCCGGCGAAAGCCGGAUUAAUACCGCAUACGAUCUACGGAUGAAAGCGGGGGACCUUCGGGCCUCGCGCUAUAGGGUUGGCCGAUGGCUGUUUAGAGAGGUGGUGGGGUAAAGGCCUACCAAGGCGACGCGCAGUAGCUGGUCUGAGAGAACGACCGGCCACACUGGGACUGAGACACGGCCCAGACUCCUACGGGAGGCAGCAGUGGGGAAUUUUGGACAAUGGGCGAAAGCCUGAUCCAGCAAUGCCGCGUGUGUGAAGAAGGCCUUCGGGUGUUAAAGCACUUUUGUCCGGGAAGAAGUCCUUGGCCCUAAUACGGUCAGGGGAUGACGGUACCGGAAGAAUAAGCACCGGCUAACUACGUG
RNAcentral lists this ribosomal RNA (486 nucleotides) under uncultured bacterium. RNAcentral describes it as "partial 16S ribosomal RNA". It matches the Rfam family "Bacterial small subunit ribosomal RNA", at positions 29 to 507 of the family's 1533-position model. The record is from RNAcentral.